Molecule: unclassified non-coding RNA, 207 nt
Filed under: Hevea brasiliensis (rubber tree)
Lineage: Eukaryota; Viridiplantae; Streptophyta; Magnoliopsida; Malpighiales; Euphorbiaceae
Source: RNAcentral
GUUGGGGCUUGCACAUGAGAUCUCUCAUUUCCUUUCAUUGCUUCUGAAGUGGUUUCUUUUACACUAUCUUACAAUUUAUGAUGCUUGUAAAGAUUCAAAUGUAAACUUAACCAUCCUUAUUCAUCAGUAUUUUGCUUGCUGUCCAUUUAAGUUUCUACUUAUGUUGUAUCUAGUGUUUUAAUAAAUGUCUUUGUUUGCUACUUUAAC